AACGAACGCUGGCGGCAGGCUUAACACAUGCAAGUCGAACGCCCCGCAAGGGGAGUGGCAGACGGGUGAGUAACGCGUGGGAACGUACCUUUCAGUUCGGAAUAACUCAGGGAAACUUGUGCUAAUACCGGAUACGCCCGCAAGGGGAAAGAUUUAUCGCUGAAAGAUCGGCCCGCGUUGGAUUAGCUAGUUGGUGGGGUAAAGGCCUACCAAGGCGACGAUCCAUAGCUGGUCUGAGAGGAUGAUCAGCCACACUGGGACUGAGACACGGCCCAGACUCCUACGGGAGGCAGCAGUGGGGAAUAUUGGACAAUGGGCGCAAGCCUGAUCCAGCCAUGCCGCGUGUGUGAUGAAGGCCUUAGGGUUGUAAAGCACUUUCACCGAUGAAGAUAAUGACGGUAGUCGGAGAAGAAGCCCCGGCUAACUUCGUGCCAGCAGCCCGCGGUAAAGAGUAGUACA
RNAcentral lists this ribosomal RNA (459 nucleotides) under uncultured bacterium. RNAcentral describes it as "bacterial SSU rRNA". It matches the Rfam family "Bacterial small subunit ribosomal RNA", at positions 29 to 536 of the family's 1533-position model. The record is from RNAcentral.